GCAGAAAAAGCCAAACCCGUCGUGAGGCGGGGACGGAAAGCCACGGGUCUCAAUGAAACGAGAUAGCCGGGUUGCCUGGG
RNAcentral lists this non-coding RNA (80 nucleotides) under Desulfobacca sp. RNAcentral's name for it is "c-di-GMP sequence". It matches the Rfam family "c-di-GMP-I-GGC riboswitch aptamer". The record is from RNAcentral. Lineage: Bacteria; Pseudomonadati; Thermodesulfobacteriota; Desulfobaccia; Desulfobaccales; Desulfobaccaceae.